UACAGAGGGUGCAAGCGUUGUUCGGAAUUAUUGGGCGUAAAGGGCGCGUAGGCGGUGCCACAAGUCACCUGUGAAAUCUCCGGGCUUAACUCGGAGCCUGCAGGCGAAACUGUGGUGCUGGAGUGUGGGAGAGGUGAGUGGAAUUCCUGGUGUAGCGGUGAAAUGCGUAGAUAUCAGGAGGAACACCUGUGGCGAAAGCGGCUCACUGGACCAUAACUGACGCUGAUGCACGAAAGCUAGGGGAGCAAACAGG
Molecule: ribosomal RNA, 253 nt
Filed under: uncultured bacterium
Lineage: Bacteria
Description: partial 16S ribosomal RNA
Rfam family: Bacterial small subunit ribosomal RNA
Source: RNAcentral